Molecule: long non-coding RNA, 2555 nt
Organism: Apis mellifera (honey bee)
Lineage: Eukaryota; Metazoa; Arthropoda; Insecta; Hymenoptera; Apidae
Exons: 3
Source: RefSeq, a predicted model, not a curated record
GCGCGACGUAACAAACGGUGGCGAUAUCUGGUGAACAAAGAUAAAAGCAGUACGCAUCGAUACACGUCCGGAUCAUCAUCGUGUGUCAUCGGAAAGUGGACAGUAAUGCAUAACGAGCAGAACGCGCGGUCAAUUCCGUUAUCGAAACGGAUGGCUUUAUUAAACCCAUUAUUCACUGGUCGUAAUUUAUCACGAUAACAUUGCGUUUUAAGGAUGAUUAUACGAUGGUCAAGAAGGACGAUGUGUAUCUGCCGAUUACGCGUGCCCUCUGUUUGAUCACGUGAUCGAUUGCUCGAGCGACGACAGCUUGUCGACCUUAUUUUCCAUACAAACAGUGAACACAUUCGACACUCGAAAUGCAUACCAUCGCCAUCGAUACGUGGAGGAUAUAUAUAUAUAUACACCGUGGAAAAUUCCGUUAUAGGAUAUCACGGUUUACCAUCGACGAUUCGUCUUAGUCACGAGGAAUCGAAAAAACAUCGACAGCUCGCUCCUCUAUUUUCUGCAUUCGUUACGUGGCGAAACAUAACCUUUCAACCUAGAUGCUCGCACACUUUGACGGAUUACAGGCCCGGUUUACACCGCUAAGCAUCCAGCUGUUGUUAUUCUACCCACGUAUGUACGUUUAAAUACUUGUACCGUGUUUGAUUACUGCGAAUAAUUUCUACUAGUUCCAUUUAUAAAGUAAACUUUCCUUGCCUGAUUCGGCCGCCAUUCGCGACAAAUAUUUCGCUCGGUCGGUAUUUAUAUUAUUCGUGAAAAUAAAACUGGUGGAAUAAAUAAUAAAUUUAAGUUACGUUAAAAGUUAAUGUUUUCUCGCUUCCUUUUAUCACUCUUCGUAUACAAAAUCGAUCGGUGAUAACAUCGUUGCAAAGUUAUUCGAUAAUUAGGUAUCGAAGACACACCGUGGGAUGAAACUUGGCGUGCAUCGUGUGCAAAGGCAGCUUAAUAUCGACGCGGCCGGAUCUAAGAGCGAAGUUUCCUCUCUUCUCCGAGGGAUUUUCUCAGCUUUGGAAUAUAUAGUGGAGAGCUGUGUGUAAACGAUCGCCGUGCCUCCGCGCGCCAUAUUAAUAGGGCCAUCUUCGUGGCCAGCUUAAUAUUGGAUAGCGAAGCGCUUGGACCGUCCUUGGAAGCAGAAAACGAUUUAUGGCCUCCACCGUUGGAGGAUUUGUAAAUAGAAUCCUGCGCGGCCCGAGGACAGGCACGUGCUCGGCAUAAGUCCGCCAAGAAUAUGAGAAGGAUUUCUAUUCAAUUGAAUUUGUUGUUACAGCUUCUACCGAUGCGAAUUAAAUUGAGAAUGAACUGCAUUACCUACCAUGUAAUAAGAGACUGAUGAGAAGAAGAGAGAAGAGAAAGGUGAAAGCCGCAACUUUACAAAAGGGAGAUUCAUAUUCCGGUCGGAGAAGCAGCGGCAUUCGGAGCAGAAAAUAAAAUCUACGGGGGUCGGUCGGUCCACGGAAACGGACGUUGCAUUCACGGGAACGUUUCUCGUUUUCGUCUCAUAACUUCCUCCUUCCUGGACUCCUAACCGACUCUUUCCCCCGGCCGUGUCACAUCGCUGACCCUUCCUGCACUUAGCCGGGCUCUAAACCAACCGGCAAACUUCGUGACGUGCAUUUCAAAUGCCGACCCCCGAAAUUUUCUUUCGGUUACGCGCAAUCGGAUCUUCCUCUUACAAAUUCGUCCUUAAAUUCUCUUUCAUUUUAAAGGACGCGCAGAUUUCAUAUAUCCUCGAGUAUCAAAGCAACUUUACUCUGAAACACACCGCAAAUUUAUAAAUCCGUAAAAUCAGUUGCUUGUGCCGCGAUUUCGAAGACACUCUGUACAUAUAUAUACACGUAUAUAUUUACGUGGAAUGAAGAGGUGAUUUGCAAAGCGACUAUCAGGGAAACACAGCGUCUAACUAUCGGCUAAUCAGCCACCAAGUUGCUCGAUGUAAGACGGAACGCCUCUUAUCCGAUGAUCCGUCUUUCCUCGAGACAUAACAGGGGGCUAACUAUGCCCGACUAAGCUUCCGUCACGUCGGAUAGUGUGGUAAAUCUUCCGGAUUUAUGUGCGCCAUUGUCCACGGCCGCGCCGCUACUCGCCUUUUUGUCGCGAUAUAAACCCUCGAAGCUUGAUCUUCUUGAUCUUCUAACACGAUAAACGAGGAUUUCGAAUUUGAAAGAAGGGAGAGUAAUUAAAAUUAUAAUUUUAGAGAAGAGAAAAAUAAAGCGAUAAUUAUCUUCGUCCGUGACAAAUAUAUGGGACAAUGGGAAAUAUGACAAAAUUCUAUUUUAUAUAUCUCAAUAUGGGUAUUGUUGUGAAAACAAUUAAUCCUAUUAUCUGCUGAUGAAUUUAUCAAUAUACAUACUCGAUAAUUGCAAAUACGAUAUUUGCAUUCAAGCUGACAUUUGAUACUUUGCGACAAAGGCAAUUUAAUAAUAAUUUAUAUUCGUCUCUCACCAGCGAAAUACAUAUAUUUCUAUCGUGUGUCAAUAAUAAUAAUUUCUCGUCGAUAAAUCUUGACGAGAUUAUUACGAAAUAUCAGUUAAUAAAUUUUUCUUUUUUUUUUU